Molecule: non-coding RNA, 228 nt
Filed under: Syntrophobotulus glycolicus
Lineage: Bacteria; Bacillati; Bacillota; Clostridia; Eubacteriales; Desulfitobacteriaceae
Description: T-box sequence
Rfam family: T-box leader
About the family: Uncharged tRNA acts as the effector for transcription antitermination of genes in the T-box leader family.
Source: RNAcentral
CAGAAAGCAUGGAUGAGGACAGUACGUUUAUCACCUUCCUCCAGCGAGCAGGGUAUGGUGGAAGCCUGUGGAAGAAAUAUUCGGAAGAUCACCUCGGAGCGGCAGACUGAAAGGUUAAUCAGGGUAAGUCUGUCCGGAUUGUCCCCGUUAAAAGACUUGGAGAUGCCCGUGACGCAGUUUUGGAACGGGCAAUUAAGGUGGUACCGCGAGACUAGACUCGCCCUUUGA